This 547-nucleotide ribosomal RNA is filed under the name uncultured bacterium. RNAcentral describes it as "bacterial SSU rRNA". It matches the Rfam family "Bacterial small subunit ribosomal RNA", at positions 355 to 896 of the family's 1533-position model. The record is from RNAcentral.
UGGGGAAUAUUGCGCAAUGGGGGGAACCCUGACGCAGCCAUGCCGCGUGAAUGAAGAAGGCCUUCGGGUUGUAAAGUUCUUUCGGUAUUGAGGAAGGUUGAUGUGUUAAUAGCACAUCAAAUUGACGUUAAAUACAGAAGAAGCACCGGCUAACUCCGUGCCAGCAGCCGCGGUAAUACGGAGGGUGCGAGCGUUAAUCGGAAUAACUGGGCGUAAAGGGCACGCAGGCGGUUAUUUAAGUGAGGUGUAAAAGCCCUGGGCUUAACCUAGGAAUUGCAUUUCAGACUGGGUAACUAGAGUACUUUAGGGAGGGGUAGAAUUCCACGUGUAGCGGUGAAAUGCGUAGAGAUGUGGAGGAAUACCGAAGGCGAAGGCAGCCCCUUGGGAAUGUACUGACGCUCAUGUGCGAAAGCGUGGGGAGCAAACAGGAUUAGAUACCCUGGUAGUCCACGCUGUAAACGCUGUCGAUUUGGGGAUUGGGCUUAGAGCUUGGUGCCCGUAGCUAACGUGAUAAAUCGACCGCCUGGGGAGUACGGCCGCAAGGUUA